GCACUGCUGAGGAGUCCCAUACUAGGACGAAACAUCCGUUCAGUAC
Schistosoma haematobium is the source of this 46-nucleotide non-coding RNA. NCBI's taxonomy places the organism in Eukaryota, Metazoa, Platyhelminthes, Trematoda, Strigeidida, Schistosomatidae. The record is from Rfam.